RNAcentral lists this ribosomal RNA (637 nucleotides) under Tuber huidongense. Its description in RNAcentral is "partial large subunit ribosomal RNA". It matches the Rfam family "Eukaryotic large subunit ribosomal RNA", at positions 54 to 706 of the family's 3401-position model. Lineage: Eukaryota; Fungi; Ascomycota; Pezizomycetes; Pezizales; Tuberaceae. The record is from RNAcentral.
AGGNGNGGAGACAACAGGGAUUGCCUUAGUAACGGCGAGUGAAGCGGCAAACGCUCAAAUUUGAAAUCUGGCACCUCUGGUGUCCGAGUUGUAAUUUGGAGAGGCAUCUUCCGAAGGGGUCCAGCCUAUGUUCCUUGGAACAGGACAUCGCAGAGGGUGAGAAUCCCGUUCACGGCUGGAUACAUAUCCUUCAGUAGGUAGUGCUUUCUACGAGUCGAGUUGUUUGGGAAUGCAGCUCAAAACGGGUGGUAAAUUUCAUCUAAAGCUAAAUAUUGGCGAGAGACCGAUAGCGCACAAGUAGAGUGAUCGAAAGAUGAAAAGCACUUUGAAAAUAGAGUCAAACAGUACGUGAAAUUGUUGAAAGGGAAGCGCUUGAGAUCAGACUCAGCCUUGGGCAAACAACUUUCCUUCUGGGUGGUGCACUUGCUCUUGGCUGGGCCAGCAUCAGUUAGGGUGGUGGAAUAAAGGCCUGUGGAAUGUGACUCCACUUUGGAGUGUUAUAGCCUCGGGUGCCAUCCCACCUGCCCUGACUGUGGACCGCGCUUUGGCUAGGAUGCUGGCAUAAUGGUCUUUAGCGGCCCGUCUUGAAACACGGACCAAGGAGUCUAACAUCUAUGCGAUUNGGGGGGGGGNAAAA